UGAGGAAUAUUGGUCAAUGGGCGAGAGCCUGAACCAGCCAAGUAGCGUGCAGGAUGACGGCCCUAUGGGUUGUAAACUGCUUUUAUAUGGGAAUAAAGUGAGGGACGUGUCCCUUAUUGCAUGUACCAUAUGAAUAAGGACCGGCUAAUCCCGUGCCAGCAGCCGCGGUAAUACGGAAGGUCCAGGCGUUAUCCGGAUUUAUUGGGUUUAAAGGGAGCGUAGGCUGUUUGUUAAGCGUGUUGUGAAAUGUAAGAGCUCAACUUUUAGAUUGCAGCGCGAACUGGCAGACUUGAGUGCGCACAACGUAGGCGGAAUUCAUGGUGUAGCGGUGAAAUGCUUAGAUAUCAUGACGAACUCCGAUUGCGAAGGCAGCUUACGGGAGCGCAACUGACGCUAAAGCUCGAAGGUGCGGGUAUCGAACAGG
Molecule: ribosomal RNA, 424 nt
Filed under: Verrucomicrobiota bacterium
Lineage: Bacteria; Pseudomonadati; Verrucomicrobiota
Description: Verrucomicrobia bacterium partial 16S ribosomal RNA
Rfam family: Bacterial small subunit ribosomal RNA
Source: RNAcentral